UACAGAGGGUGCGAGCGUUAAUCGGAAUUACUGGGCGUAAAGCGCGCGUAGGCGGUUAAUCAAGUUGGAUGUGAAAGCCCCGGGCUCAACCUGGGAAUGGCAUUCAAAACUGAUAGGCUAGAGUACAGGAGAGGUGAGUGGAAUUUCCGGUGUAGCGGUGAAAUGCGUAGAGAUCGGAAGGAACACCAGUGGCGAAGGCGACUCACUGGACUGAUACUGACACUGAGGUGCGAAAGCGUGGGGAGCAAACAGG
RNAcentral lists this ribosomal RNA (253 nucleotides) under uncultured bacterium. RNAcentral describes it as "partial 16S ribosomal RNA". It matches the Rfam family "Bacterial small subunit ribosomal RNA", at positions 524 to 776 of the family's 1533-position model. The record is from RNAcentral.